CUAUACGGGGAGGGGCUAUAAGCUCGUAAACCAUUGAUAUAUAUUUCUGGAUUGGUUUUUGCCUAUUUGCUGCUAAAGACAGAGACGUGCGCGCGCAGGCGUCAUUGCUAUUGCUUGUCGACAGAACGCUAGAGGACAGGCAGACAUCAACCACAAAAAUCGGGCUAGCUCCCUCUAGCUUAACCGGUUUUCACAAAUCAAAGUUUGGAAAAUGAUCGAUCUUGUGUCAUAUUUAAAUAUUAAUUAUCUCUAAAGAUUCAUCUGUAAAUACAGCAAGAAUUGUGUCUUCUACUGUUAAAUUAACAGCUUCUAAAUAUCUGAGAUUUUCUAUUUUGCCUCUGUGCUAAAAUCUAUAGAACGGAGCUUGUAAACGCUCGUCACCCAAGACCAGAAAAAGGGAGAUUGAUGAAGUUUAAUGGAAUGAAUGACUGACAACGUUUAGUAACAAAGGCCUUUCCCUAUUAAAAAAAAACACCUCAAACUGCUCCGCGUUUAUGUCACUGAGCAGACGGUUAGCGUUAGCGCUGCAUUUCCUAGCUGGGCUUUCUCCGGUCCGUACAACCAAGAAAGAAUAUCAACGCUGGCGGCACGUAUUUAGAAAAUUGUAUGUGAUUUCAUUUUCUUGCAAAAAAAAAAAAAAAACAUUUAGCCUAGCUACGUGCUACUUUGCUAGCACAGCAACAUGCAUCUUAGCCGCACACAUUACCUGUUUCCAGCAUGAUUACAUCAGUUUUUGUGCUGAUUUCAUGUAAAUACAAGCGAAUAAAACAUGAAAAAUCAAUAAAAAGUGCAUCGAUGAACUAAGCUAGCAUGCUACCCCCGAGUAGCUAGCACCCACUUUAGCGCAAACUUCACGGUUUCCAGCCUGAUUUCUCUAUCCUAAAAUGCGAUCACUGUCCUGUGGUGAUUCCUCUCGAUCGGAUUAUUUUGUUGUCGUGUUUCUUGCAGUUGAUUGUAAAACGUUGCGUCCCCUUUUCUUUGCGUAUUUAUUCGGACCUCCUCCGUUUGUUACUCAGGAAGUCUCAGUGCAAAGCCGUAUGUCAACAGAUGGAUGAUGGGAAGUGGGGGCGGGCUUACUCCAAACCAACAAUCCAACACAACUCAGAGGUGAAUUUCUAAUGAACUACAGUCGUUCAGCAGAAACUAUGUCCAAGAAAAUGACAAUUUUUAAAAUUUUAGCUAAAAACAUAAUUAUAAUAAAAAAAAACAAAAGGAACAAUUCAUCAAAAGACGACUUUAACCGUACAAAACAGUAAAGAGAGAGUCUGAUACUCAAGGCUGG
Molecule: long non-coding RNA, 1282 nt
Organism: Oryzias melastigma (Indian medaka)
Lineage: Eukaryota; Metazoa; Chordata; Actinopteri; Beloniformes; Adrianichthyidae
Exons: 2
Source: RefSeq, a predicted model, not a curated record